Molecule: ribosomal RNA, 501 nt
Filed under: uncultured bacterium
Lineage: Bacteria
Description: partial 16S ribosomal RNA
Rfam family: Bacterial small subunit ribosomal RNA
Source: RNAcentral
AUUGUACGCUGGCGGCAUGCCUUACACAUGCAAGUCGAACGGCAGCACGGGUGCUUGCACCUGGUGGCGAGUGGCGAACGGGUGAGUAAUACAUCGGAACGUACCUUAUCGUGGGGGAUAACGCAGCGAAAGCUGUGCUAAUACCGCAUACGCCCUGAGGGGGAAAGCGGGGGAUCGAAAGACCUCGCGCGAUUAGAGCGGCCGAUGCCUGAUUAGCUUGUUGGUGGGGUAAAAGCCCACCAAGGCGACGAUCAGUAGCUGGUCUGAGAGGACGAUCAGCCACACUGGGACUGGGCAACGGCCCAGACUCCUACGGGAGGCAGCAGUGGGGAAUUUCGGACAAUGGGGGCAACCCUGAUCCAGCAAUGCCGCGUGAGUGAAGAAGGCCUUCGGGUUGUAAAGCUCUUUUGUCAGGGAAGAAACACCGGCUCUAACACAGUCCGGGAAUGACGGUACCUGAAGAAUAAGCACCGGCUAACUACGUGCCAGCAGCCGCCGUAA